GUGCCAGCCGCCGCGGUAAUACCGGCAGCCCAAGUGAUGGCCGAUCUUAUUGGGCCUAAAGCGUCCGUAGCUGGCUGCGCAAGUCCGUCGGGAAAUCCACUCGCCCAACGAGUGGGCGUCCGACGGAAACUGCGCAGCUUGGGACCGGAAGGCUCGAAGGGUACGUUCGGGGUAGGAGUGGAAUCCCAUAAUCCCGGACGGACUACCGAUGGCGAAAGCACUCUGAGAAGACGGCUUCGACAGUGAGGGACGAAAGCUCGGGUCUCAAACCGGAUUAGAUACCCGUGUAAUCC
Molecule: ribosomal RNA, 293 nt
Filed under: uncultured bacterium
Lineage: Bacteria
Description: partial 16S ribosomal RNA
Rfam family: Archaeal small subunit ribosomal RNA
Source: RNAcentral